Molecule: ribosomal RNA, 520 nt
Filed under: uncultured bacterium
Lineage: Bacteria
Description: partial 16S ribosomal RNA
Rfam family: Bacterial small subunit ribosomal RNA
Source: RNAcentral
AAUAAACGCUGGCGGCGUGCCUAACACAUGCAAGUCGAACGAGAAAGCCGGAUUUCGGUCUGGCGAGUAAAGUGGCGCACGGGUGAGUAACGCGUAGGUAACCUGCCCCUGUGUUCGGGAUAACAGUGCGAAAGCGCUGCUAAUACCGAAUAUGUUCAAGAGGCGAAGGUCUCUUGGUCAAAGUUGGCCUCUCACAGAAGCUGACGCACGGGGAUGGGCCUGCGUCGUGUAAGCUAGUUGGUAGGGUAACGGCCUACCAAGGCUGCGACGGGUAGCUGGUCUGAGAGGAUGAUCAGCCACACUGGCCCUGAAACACGGGCCAGACUCCUACGGGAGGCAGCAGUGAGGAAUUUUGCGCAAUGGCCGCAAGGCUGACGCAGCAACGCCGCGUGGGUGAAGAAGGCCUUCGGGUCGUAAAGCCCUGUCAGGUGGGAAGAAUGUCCCCUGGAAUAAUACUUUGGGGGAGUGACGGUACCACCAGAGGAAGCACCGGCUAACUCCGUGCCAGCCGCCGCGGUAA